This 468-nucleotide ribosomal RNA is filed under the name uncultured bacterium. RNAcentral's name for it is "partial 16S ribosomal RNA". It matches the Rfam family "Bacterial small subunit ribosomal RNA", at positions 28 to 507 of the family's 1533-position model. The record is from RNAcentral.
GACGAACGCUGGCGGCGUGCUUAACACAUGCAAGUCGAACGGAAAGGCCCUGCUUUUGUGGGGUGCUCGAGUGGCGAACGGGUGAGUAACACGUGAGUAACCUGCCCUUGACUUUGGGAUAACUUCAGGAAACUGGGGCUAAUACCGGAUAGGAGCUCCUGCUGCAUGGUGGGGGUUGGAAAGUUUCGGCGGUUGGGGAUGGACUCGCGGCUUAUCAGCUUGUUGGUGGGGUAGUGGCUUACCAAGGCUUUGACGGGUAGCCGGCCUGAGAGGGUGACCGGCAACAUUGGGACUGAACUACGGCCCAGCCUCCACCGGGAGGCAGCAGGGGGGAAGAUUGCACAAUGGGCGGAAGCCUGAUGCAGCAACGCCGCGUGCGGGAUGCGGGCCUUGGGUUUGUAACCCGCUUUCGCCUGUGACGAAGCGGGAGUGACGGUAAUGGGUAAAGAAGCACCGGCUAACUACGUG